UACGAAGGGGGCUAGCGUUGUUCGGAAUCACUGGGCGUAAAGGGCGCGUAGGCGGCUUUGUAAGUCGGGGGUGAAAGCCUGUGGCUCAACCACAGAAUUGCCUUCGAUACUGCAUGGCUUGAGACCGGAAGAGGUUAGUGGAACUGCGAGUGUAGAGGUGAAAUUCGUAGAUAUUCGCAAGAACACCAGUGGCGAAGGCGGCUGACUGGUCCGGUUCUGACGCUGAUGCGCGACAGCGUGGGGGAGCAAACAGG
RNAcentral lists this ribosomal RNA (254 nucleotides) under uncultured bacterium. RNAcentral's name for it is "partial 16S ribosomal RNA". It matches the Rfam family "Bacterial small subunit ribosomal RNA", at positions 524 to 776 of the family's 1533-position model. The record is from RNAcentral.